This 81-nucleotide small RNA is filed under the name Salix viminalis (osier). Lineage: Eukaryota; Viridiplantae; Streptophyta; Magnoliopsida; Malpighiales; Salicaceae. The record is from RNAcentral.
UAUCUACAUGAUGAAAACUAUCAUAAGCCAAGGAUUAAAGUCCAAUGAAGCAUCUUGUAGUCAUAGUUACACUGAUAGAAC